CAGUAGCCACGGUAAUACGAGGGGGGCAAGCGUUGUUCGGAAUUAUUGGGCGUAAAGCGCGCGCAGGCGGAUAGGUCAGUCUGUCUUAAAAGUUCGGGGCUUAACCCCGUGAUGAGAUGGAAACUGCCAAUCUAGAGUAUCGGAGAGGAAAGUGGAAUUCCUAGUGUAGCGGUGAAAUGCGUAGAUAUUAGGAAGAACACCAGUGGCGAAGGCGACUUUCUGGACGAAAACUGACGCUGAGGCGCGAAAGCCAGGGGAGCGAACGGGAUUAGAUACCCGCGUAGUCCCUGUCUCUUAUACA
This 301-nucleotide ribosomal RNA is filed under the name uncultured bacterium. RNAcentral's name for it is "partial 16S ribosomal RNA". It matches the Rfam family "Bacterial small subunit ribosomal RNA", at positions 509 to 809 of the family's 1533-position model. The record is from RNAcentral.